This is a long non-coding RNA of Varanus komodoensis (Komodo dragon), 3132 nucleotides long. RefSeq lists it as uncharacterized. NCBI's taxonomy places the organism in Eukaryota, Metazoa, Chordata, Lepidosauria, Squamata, Varanidae. The record is from RefSeq and is a predicted model, not a curated record. The transcript is spliced from 2 exons.
UGGCAUCCUGCCAGGAUGCAAUUAAUUAGCACUAAAUGCAGAAAUGCCCCCUCUCCUGCUUAGAGAGGGAAAGAGAACGCACUCUUAAAAGCACUUUUAGGCAUUCUCCUAAAAGCGUGUACAGGCGUGUGAGCCGGGCGGGUCACGAGCACAAUUCCAGCGAGGUUUUUCUCCCUGCAAAGAGACCGUCUCUGCACCAAUGACCCAAGAAGAGGUUUGGAGCCAGUGGAAAUGCAGCACAGGAGUGUUUCGUGCUUUGUGCGUGGAAGGAUGCUUGAAGUGGCGCCGGAGCUGGAGCAACGCAUCCAGAGACACCAGCUCCCAGGGGAAAAGGAGGCUGCAGUGGUGCCAGCAGAACCAUCCGGGCAUACCUUGGCCAGGUGGACCUCGGCUUUUGUUGUAAAGUUCCUGCCCUCUCGACUUGGGAGGUAAGGAGAGACGAAGAGCCCAGCACCUGUCCAGCUCAGCGGCCUCCCUUCAGUUGCCUCCGCAAAGCUCGUGCCUGGCUGGCCGGGGUCCCACGGUGGCUCACCUCCCACAUCCAGGAGUGAGGGACGCCGCCCCCCAGAACGGAGGUUCCUUUGGGCUGGCCACAGCUGAUGUACAGCGACACGUUUCUUUCUCCAAAUUAGCCCCAGAAACAACUGCGGAGCUAGUGGCGAUUGUCACAUCGAUUUUGCAAACAACUCACGCGUCGUAUGGUUUUGUGCAAAGCCGGGGGGGAGGCAGCGGCUGGGGCUGGCCGUGCCCCCUGGUCUUUCCCCGCCCCUUGAGCUGUCGGAAGAGCUGGAGGCUUCCCCUUGUGGAACAGAGGCAGCUGGACCUGUGGAUUGUGCAAAAGCACCCCGAUGAAUUUUGGAUGGCGGAUUUAAUAAGACAAAAGCAAUGACAGCUUGGCACGCCAGCUUUCCUUCACCACGAGCUGCCUGCUCGAUCUCUCCCAGCGCAGUCUGCCAUAACAGCCUGCCGUGGUGUUGACUCCAGGUCCCAUCAUUCCCAGCCAAUGAUGGGAGGUGCACGCCAACAAGUCCAGAGGGCACCACGUUGGGGAAGGCUGUUCUAGAAGACGGUUGGACAACGCGUGUCCUUCCAAGUGUUUCGGCCAAUCACUUUGCCUCAUCCUUCGUACCUAUGUCCUCUUUUCUGUAUCCUUCUCAAAACCUGCUCUGGCUUAUCCUGAAAUGUCAGAGCUGGGCAUCUUGCUCGGGGUGAGGUUGGAUCGCUGCAGGGAAAAGUGGAACCAUUAGGCCUCAUGACCUGAAAACUGUGACUCUAGAAAAGCGGGCUAAAACCGCAGUGGCCCCAGCUGGUCUCACUGGGCUCGCGAUGGGCUGCCAUCUCCAAGCCACGCCGUCUUUUGUCCGAAGCCUGCAUAUUUUAAUGGACUAAGUGCAACCUUUUGCUGUGUGUCAUUCUGCUCAUUUGGACUCCGUCUGUCGUUCGGUCUCUCAGCCAUUUUGAAUGAUAUUCUGAUCUGAGAUGUGAGCCACUCCUGCUGUAUUUUCUGUCCUCUGCAAAUUCCCUUCAGCCCUCAUCUAAGCCACUGAAAAGUGCCAUGCCCAGGACAAACUCGACUCCGACUGGCAUUAAUGGGUUUGCUCACUGGAAAAGGUCAGCUGCUUUGCUGCAACAGGUGGCCAUGGGGUCAAGAGCUACGCAUCUGGGGCUCCUGCCAGUGUGCCCCUGCUGGGGUGUGUGUCCCCAGCAUGUUUCCACCCAUGCCAAGCCUCGUUGCCAGCCCUGGGCAGGGUAUCCUCUUUCAAAGAAGGGCAUCUUUUGCCCAGCUGCUCGAAACCCUCCAAGAUGAGCCAAGCCAAGGCAUCAGCCGGCUAGAAAAGAAGCGGAUUUUCCUCUUUGGGUGAAGCACUGGAGAACAUUCACCGCAAUCCCAGAUUUCGGCUGCGUUACUUGCCAGCGGCUUGGUUUGGGAGCUAGGCUUGGCGGGCGUUCGGCCUUCCUCGCCGCCAGCCGUUUCUCACCCAGCCCAGAGGGAGGUGGUGUAGCCUUAUUCAAAAACUGAAAUAAAGUGGGGUGGAGGAGCUCCCCCUGUCAGGAGCUGCCUGUGGAAUCGCCAUCCGCAUGUUUCCUUGCAGGAUGAAAGAAGCCAAGCUUCUUUCUGUUGGUGUCCUGCCCUUGCCAGCCAGUGAAUCUUUCCAAGCUCUUCAGGAAGAUGAGGCAUGUGUGUUAGAUGUGCGGCUGACCUGGGGGGGGGGGGGUUGGCACUUGCUGGGGGACAACAGAACCCUAAAUCAACUCAGCCCAAACGCCACUCAGCCAACCGGCUGCGUUUUAAUUAACUCGGCUGCUUAUUGCUGGCAAUCCAUCAGGCCUGCGGUUGCCACGCUGUGACCUUGGACAGCUAGAGGGGUGCCCCAAGCAUCACCCGGAGCCACUGCCAAAGCUUAAAACCCUCCCCCUUAAAACCUUAAAACCCCAUCACCUCCUGCUCCCUGCUUUGAAAGUCCCCACAAUACAGCGGAGCCACGCAAACGCUUGUUUAACAGCUUUUUUCCAGCAGAGCCAUUUUGUAUUCUUUUGGGGUCCGCACAAGCAAAGCCCGAACCUAUUCCACUCCCAUGCCAUCCUUUCCAAAGCACAGUUGCCGGCAUGUUCCCAGCCUGCCGUGCAUCUCCUCAAAACGGGGUCACCGAGCCCCGCUGCUUGGCGGGGGCAAAAUCCACCCAACCUGCUGGAGAAAGAAGUGUGCUUAUCCCCUCUCCGGUUUAUUUAAAGUAUUUGUAACGUGCCCUCUGUCAAAAUGGUGAGCAAAAAUACCAGCUUGCCUUAGCCUAGAGCUCUGGCCAUCAGUAAAUCGCUUCAUGAGAGACACUUCUGCCCCUUGGAAUGAGCGCUGGGGACACCCACGCAAAAGCUGGGAAAGCAUGGGCUAUUGGGGUGAGGGGAAGGACGCAGCAGUCUUGGGACCCCUGCGCACCCUCACACGAGCGAAUGUACAAGAGCCAAGCGUGCCAAGCCGAACCAUGUCUGUAGCAUGCAGACUUCCCCGUUACUGCUUUUUCCUCGUUCACUGUCAGCCUUCAACGGGGGAUGCGGCCAGCCUGGGCUCAGGGGUUUUCUAAUUUAUUUGCAAGCGCAACUGUAAAAACCAAUAAACCACCCAGCCAGUGGCAA